UCCCUGGCGGUCCAGUGGUUAAGACACUGCACUUCCAACGCAAAGGGUGUGGGUUCAAUCCCUGGUCAGGGAA
Bos taurus (domestic cattle) is the source of this 73-nucleotide non-coding RNA. The record is from Rfam. Lineage: Eukaryota; Metazoa; Chordata; Mammalia; Artiodactyla; Bovidae.